CGGACGGGUGAGUAACACGUGAGCAACCUGCCUUCGAGAGGGGAAUAACGGCUGGAAACGGUCGCUAAUACCGCAUAACAUACCGGGAGGACAUCCUGCUGGUAUCAAAGAUUUAUCGCUCGAAGAUGGGCUCGCGUCCGAUUAGGUAGUUGGUGAGGUAACGGCUCACCAAGCCGACGAUCGGCAGCCGGACUGAGAGGUUGAACGGCCACAUUGGGACUGAGACACGGCCCAGACUCCUACGGAAGGCAGCAG
Molecule: ribosomal RNA, 255 nt
Filed under: uncultured bacterium
Lineage: Bacteria
Description: partial 16S ribosomal RNA
Rfam family: Bacterial small subunit ribosomal RNA
Source: RNAcentral